Molecule: long non-coding RNA, 385 nt
Filed under: Cricetulus griseus (Chinese hamster)
Lineage: Eukaryota; Metazoa; Chordata; Mammalia; Rodentia; Cricetidae
Description: lncRNA (ENSCGRG00000024150.1)
Source: RNAcentral
GGAGGUAUAAAGAGUGUAGGGCCCAGAAAGGAAGGGAGAGACGGGCGUGGAGACCCCAGUUCCCAAGGAGAACGGAAGAGUGGAAGGAUGGAGAUCUCAGACUCAGGAGAGAAGGCCUCCAGCUUGGACCCUAACCACUGUCUUCAGGAACAAUGGAUGUACAGCCUCUACAGUUGAUGGCCCCUGAUCCCUUUAGGGAUAAAGGUGUCGAGGCUCCUCUGUUUCUCUCCCCAGAACCAGCAACACAUGCUGUUUACACUGGGCUCUUCCUGCCCAGAACAAAGUGCCAGCUAAGAUAAAUCACUGUCAGCACCCGGGGGAUGAGACCACAGGCUGUGGAGGUGACAGAAGUCAUUCUUCCAAGACCUUUAUCAAAUGAAUUACU